Molecule: ribosomal RNA, 511 nt
Filed under: Tituboea biguttata
Lineage: Eukaryota; Metazoa; Arthropoda; Insecta; Coleoptera; Chrysomelidae
Description: partial 16S ribosomal RNA
Rfam family: Bacterial large subunit ribosomal RNA
Source: RNAcentral
GUCCUUUUGAUUAUGAUUUAAGGUCGGGCCUGCCCAAUGAGACAUUGAAUGGCCGCAGUAAUUUGACUGUGCUAAGGUAGCAUAAUCAUUAGUUUCUUAAUUAGGAACUGGAAUGAAAGGUUUGAUGAGGGAAUGGCUGUCUCCGAUAUUAUUAUAGAAUUUUAUCUUUGAGUAAAAAAGCUUAAAUGUUUUUGAAAGACGAGAAGACCCUAUAGAGUUUAAUAAGAUGGCUCUGUUGAACAAUUUUGUAACUUAUCCGGUUCAAUAGCUAGUUUUAUUUAGUUGGGGUGAUUGUAAAAUUAAUUUAACUUUUACUUGACUAUUACACUGAUGAGUGUUUGAUUGAUCCAGCAGAUGUUGAUUAAAAGACUAAAUUACCUUAGGGAUAACAGCGUAAUCUUUUUUUAGAGUUCUGAUCGAUAAAAUGGGUUGCGACCUCGAUGUUGGAUUAAAAUUUACUUAGGGUGCAGUAGCUCUUGAGUUAGGUCUGUUCGACCUUUAAAAUUUUACA